Molecule: ribosomal RNA, 484 nt
Filed under: uncultured bacterium
Lineage: Bacteria
Description: partial 16S ribosomal RNA
Rfam family: Bacterial small subunit ribosomal RNA
Source: RNAcentral
AUUGAACGCUGGCGGCAGGCCUAACACAUGCAAGUCGAGCGGAUGAAGGGAGCUUGCUCCUGGAUUCAGCGGCGGACGGGUGAGUAAUGCCUAGGAAUCUGCCUGGUAGUGGGGGAUAACGUCCGGAAACGGGCGCUAAUACCGCAUACGUCCUGAGGGAGAAAGUGGGGGAUCUUCGGAUCUCACGCUAUCAGAUGAGCCUAGGUCGGAUUAGCUAGUUGGUGGGGUAAAGGCCUACCAAGGCGACGAUCCGUAACUGGUCUGAGAGGAUGAUCAGUCACACUGGAACUGAGACACGGUCCAGACUCCUACAGGAGGCAGCAGUGGGGAAUAUUGGACGAUGGGCGAAAGCCUGAUCCAGCCAUACCGCGUGUGUGAAGAAGGUCUUCGGAUUGUAAAGCACUUUAAGUUGGGGGGAUGGAAAGUAAGUUAAUACCUUGCUGUUUUGACGUUACCAACAGAAUAAGCACCGGCUAACUUCGUG